RNAcentral lists this ribosomal RNA (467 nucleotides) under uncultured bacterium. Its description in RNAcentral is "partial 16S ribosomal RNA". It matches the Rfam family "Bacterial small subunit ribosomal RNA", at positions 28 to 506 of the family's 1533-position model. The record is from RNAcentral.
GACGAACGCUGGCGGCGUGCUUAACACAUGCAAGUCGAACGGUGAAGCUCCAGCUUGCUGGAGUGGAUCAGUGGCGAACGGGUGAGUAACACGUGAGCAACCUGCCCCUGACUCUGGAAUAAGCGCUGGAAACGGCGUCUAAUACUGGAUACGAGAAGGGUCCGCAUGGGCACUUUCUGGAAAGUUUUUCGGUUGGGGAUGGGCUCGCGGCCUAUCAGCUUGUUGGUGAGGUAAUGGCUCACCAAGGCGACGACGGGUAGCCGGCCUGAGAGGGCGACCGGCCACACUGGGACUGAGACACGGCCCAGACUCCUACGGGAGGCAGCAGUGGGGAAUAUUGCACAAGGGGCGAAAGCCGGAUGCAGCGACGCCGCGUGAGGGAUGACGGCCUUCGGGUUGUAAACCUCUUUCAGCAGGGAAGAAGGGAAAGUGACGGUACCUGCAGAAGAAGCACCGGCUAACUACGU